UGGGGAAUUUUGGACAAUGGGCGCAAGCCUGAUCCAGCCAUGCCGCGUGGAUGAUGAAGGCCUUAGGGUUGUAAAAUCCUUUCGUUGGGGACGAUAAUGACGGUACCCAAAGAAGAAGCUCCGGCUAACUUCGUGCCAGCAGCCGCGGUAAUACGAAGGGGGCUAGCGUUGUUCGGAUUUACUGGGCGUAAAGCGCGUGUAGGCGGAUUUGUAAGUUGGGGGUGAAAUCCCGAGGCUCAACCUCGGAACUGCCUCCAAAACUACAAGUCUGGACCUAAGUAGAGGCAAGUGGAAUUGCGAGUGUAGAGGUGAAAUUCGUAGAUAUUCGCAGGAACACCAGUGGCGAAGGCGACUUGCUGGACUUAUGGUGACGCUGAGACGCGAAAGCGUGGGGAGCAAACAGGAUUAGAUACCCGCGUAGUCCCUGAGCGGGCUGGCAAGGCGCAU
RNAcentral lists this ribosomal RNA (447 nucleotides) under uncultured bacterium. RNAcentral describes it as "bacterial SSU rRNA". It matches the Rfam family "Bacterial small subunit ribosomal RNA", at positions 355 to 825 of the family's 1533-position model. The record is from RNAcentral.